Molecule: long non-coding RNA, 1480 nt
Organism: Astatotilapia calliptera (eastern happy)
Lineage: Eukaryota; Metazoa; Chordata; Actinopteri; Cichliformes; Cichlidae
Source: Ensembl
GCCAGCCCUCCUCACUCCAGUGCUGUCAGGGUGAGAGAGGCUCAGAGGGCUGUCACUUUGAAUGACUCCAUGAAUAGGCCCAUGCCUUUUAGAGAACACUGUUAUUUGCUGUAAGUUGUUUUGACAUGGACCCUAAUACCUCUUGCACUUGGCCAAAGGGUUUGGGUUUGGGAAAACUGGAGUAUUUGGCAGGUCUCAGCCUCCAGAGACAAGGGUGGUGCUUUUCCGCCUAGCUGAAAGGGAACGACUGUGACAUGUUGCUCACACAGGGCUGGAUGAAUGUCAGUCACAUCUGCUCAUCUCCUCCUUCACCCUCUGACAAUCUUCUUGUCUGUCUGUCAUGCUACCUGUCACUCAACUCAUUCCAGACUGGAUGGUUGCUUUCCUUUUAAAGAAAACAGCCUCUUAAUAGUGUUAUUAACAGUUAAUCCAAAGAUCACAAAGGUAGAUGAGUGCCUUACACUCCAGGGGUAAUGCAGCUGUUUUUUUCUCAGAGAAGAUGCUGUCAGAUUUCCUUCAAGAUAAAAUAAGGGCAUUCAAACAGUUAACCGUAACCUAGCAUGUUGAAGUGAAAUAGUAGGAAACAGCAAGCUUGGCAAAGGUAAAAAUAGUCCCUAUAUUUAACAUGUUAUACUUGUUUCUGCCAUUUCUAAAUAAGUCCAGGCUGUUGCUUCAGAGUAGACACAAGGCUGGUUUCAAAUACACAAUGUUUUUAAUGUUUUUCACAAUUUAUAAGGCACUUUUAAAGUAGUAAAACAUGUAUAGCUUUUAAUUAGACAUACGUUUCUUUCUGUGAUUGACUGAUUUUUUUUUAAAUGUAAUGACAUGCAUUUGCAUCACAGAUAUCUAGUCACACUUGUGUGUCAAAGUUUUGCCGCAGUUAAAUAUGAUGCAGGUGAAUACAAUAAGAAUUUUUUAAAAACCUUCAUUUCACCAUGAAAUUCCCCCAACUGAUUAAUAACAGUUGACUACAGAUUUUCUGAAAAUUUAUGUUUAAAUAUGUAAAUGACAUUAUUUAAGCUCCUAGGACCUGGCGUCCACAUAUGUGGACAUCACAUUUGGGGUUGUCUAGACCAGCGGUCCCCAACCCCCGGGCCUCACUCGUUUGGUACAUGGAAACAUGUUUGAAGUAACAGUUUUGGAGUGAAAUUUCAUGCGAUGUUCAUAAAAUCUUUGACUUUUUUUUAUUUUUUACUUACUUACUUUUUUUUUUUUUUUUACAGAUAUACGUUUUCCUGAAGCUGUUAGCAGCACCUCAAAUGAGCUAUAUUGCUCAAAGGGGCACAGUGGUUGUUUUUCAUUUUCUUUUUGUACUCAGGAAAAAUGCUGCUGUGUACAGACAACAAAUAAAGAGCUUUGCACAUCAUUACUCAAUUGUGAACGUAGUAUUCUAUCAAAAUUCUAUUGAACAUAUCAUUUUUCUCAGAAACUACACCAGGUAAAAAGAUAAUUCUUUGUUUUUACAUUCAUCAGGUCCCAG